Molecule: ribosomal RNA, 460 nt
Filed under: uncultured bacterium
Lineage: Bacteria
Description: partial 16S ribosomal RNA
Rfam family: Bacterial small subunit ribosomal RNA
Source: RNAcentral
CCUACGGGCGGCAGCAGUGAGGAAUAUUGGUCAAUGGGCGCUAGCCUGAACCAGCCAAGUAGCGUGAAGGAUGACUGCCCUAUGGGUUGUAAACUUCUUUUAUAUGGGAAUAAAGUGCAGUAUGUAUACUGCUUUGCAUGUACCUUAUGAAUAAGGAUCGGCUAACUCCGUGCCAGCAGCCGCGGUAAUACGGAGGAUUCGAGCGUUAUCCGGAUUGAUUGGGUUUAAAGGGAGCGUAGGCGGGUUGUUAAGUCAGUUGGGAAAGUUUGCGGCUCAACCGUAAAAUUGCAGUUGAUACUGGCAUCCUUGAGUACAGUAGAGGUAGGCGGAAUUCGUGGUGUAGCGGUAAAAUGCUUAGAUAUCACGAAGAACUCCGAUUGCGAAGGCAGCCUGCUGGACUGUAACUGACGCUGAUGCUCGAAAGUGUGGGUAUCAAACAGGAUUAGAUACCCGGGUAGUC